CCUACGGGAGGCAGCAGUGAGGAAUAUUGGUCAAUGGACGAAAGUCUGAACCAGCCAUGCCGCGUGCAGGAAGACGGCUCUAUGAGUUGUAAACUGCUUUUGUACAAGGGUAAACCUGAAUACGUGUAUUCAGCUGAAAGUACUGUACGAAUACGGAUCGGCUAACUCCGUGCCCGCAGCCGCGGUAAUACGGAGGAUCCAAGCGUUAUCCGGAUUUAGUGGGUUUAAAGGGUGCGUAGGCGGAUUGAUAAGUUAGAGGUGAAAUGUCCGGGCUCAACUCGGGAACUGCCUCUAAUACUGUUGAUCUAGAGAGUAGAUGCGGUAGGCGGAAUGUAUGGUGUAGCGGUGAAAUGCUUAGAGAUCAUACAGAACACCGAUUGCGAAGGCAGCUUACCAAUCUAUAUCUGACGUUGAGGCACGAAAGCGUGGGGAGCAAACAGGAUUAGAUACCCGUGUAGUC
Molecule: ribosomal RNA, 460 nt
Filed under: uncultured bacterium
Lineage: Bacteria
Description: partial 16S ribosomal RNA
Rfam family: Bacterial small subunit ribosomal RNA
Source: RNAcentral